RNAcentral lists this ribosomal RNA (416 nucleotides) under Polypedates megacephalus (Hong Kong whipping frog). RNAcentral's name for it is "partial 12S ribosomal RNA". It matches the Rfam family "Bacterial small subunit ribosomal RNA", at positions 770 to 1403 of the family's 1533-position model. Lineage: Eukaryota; Metazoa; Chordata; Amphibia; Anura; Rhacophoridae. The record is from RNAcentral.
AACUGGGAUUAGAUACCCCACUAUGCCACACCAUAAAUUUCACCUACACUUAAAACGCCAGGGUACUACGAGCCCCGCUUAAAACCCAAAGGAUUUGACGGUGUUCCACCCAACUAGAGGAGCCUGUUCUAUAAUCGACAAUCCACGAUCUACCUAACCAUUUUUUGCUACUCAGCCUGUAUACCUCCGUCGUAAGCUUAUCAUUUGAAUGAAGAAAAGUAAGCACAAGGACUAAGAGCCAAAACGUCAGGUCAAGGUGCAGCUUAUAAAAUGGAAGAAAUGAGCUACAAUUUCUAAUUUAGAACACACGAAUUACUGCAUGAAACAAAGUCAUGAAGGUGGAUUUAGCAGUAAGUAAGGAAUAGAGAGCCUUACUUAAUUUGGCCCUGGAACGUGUACACACCGCCCGUCACCCU